Molecule: transfer RNA, 72 nt
Filed under: Paraburkholderia eburnea
Lineage: Bacteria; Pseudomonadati; Pseudomonadota; Betaproteobacteria; Burkholderiales; Burkholderiaceae
Rfam family: tRNA
About the family: Transfer RNA (tRNA) molecules are approximately 80 nucleotides in length. Their secondary structure includes four short double-helical elements and three loops (D, anti-codon, and T loops). Further hydrogen bonds mediate the characteristic L-shaped molecular structure. tRNAs have two regions of fundamental functional importance: the anti-codon, which is responsible for specific mRNA codon recognition, and the 3' end, to which the tRNAs corresponding amino acid is attached (by aminoacyl-tRNA synthetases). tRNAs cope with the degeneracy of the genetic code in two manners: having more than one tRNA (with a specific anti-codon) for a particular amino acid; and 'wobble' base-pairing, i.e. permitting non-standard base-pairing at the 3rd anti-codon position.
Source: Rfam by way of RNAcentral
GCCCGGGUAGCUCAGGGGGAGAACACCGCUUUUACACAGCGGGGGCCGCUGGUUCGAAACCAGCUUCGGGCA